GAUGAACGCUGGCGGCGUGCCUAACACAUGCAAGUCGAACGAAGCAUUUAGAACGGAUUACUUCGGUUUGAAGUUCUUUAUGACUGAGUGGCGGACGGGUGAGUAACGCGUGAGUAACCUGCCUUGUACUGGGGGAUAGCAGCUGGAAACGGCUGGUAAUACCGCAUAAGCGCACAAUGUUGCAUGACAUGGUGUGAAAAACUCCGGUGGUAUAAGAUGGACCCGCGUCUGAUUAGCUAGUUGGUGAGAUAAUGGCCCACCAAGGCGACGAUCAGUAGCCGACCUGAGAGGGUGACCGGCCACAUUGGGACUGAGACACGGCCCAGACUCCUACGGGAGGCAGCAGUGGGGAAUAUUGCACAAUGGAGGAAACUCUGAUGCAGCGACGCCGCGUGAGUGAAGAAGUAAUUCGUUAUGUAAAGCUCUAUCAGCAGGGAAGAUAGUGACGGUACCUGACUAAGAAGCUCCUGCUAACUACGUGCCAGCCGCUGCAGUAA
RNAcentral lists this ribosomal RNA (497 nucleotides) under uncultured bacterium. Its description in RNAcentral is "partial 16S ribosomal RNA". It matches the Rfam family "Bacterial small subunit ribosomal RNA", at positions 28 to 523 of the family's 1533-position model. The record is from RNAcentral.